Acanthosepion pharaonis is the source of this 111-nucleotide non-coding RNA. Lineage: Eukaryota; Metazoa; Mollusca; Cephalopoda; Sepiida; Sepiidae. The record is from the annotation of a GenBank genome assembly.
UAGCCAUAUCACAUUGAAACACUGGUUCUCAUACAAUCACUGAAGUUAAGCAAUGUCAAGCCAGGUCAGUAUCUAGAUGGGUGACCAAUUAGGAAUAACAGGUGCUGUAAG